Long non-coding RNA from Phragmites australis (common reed), 924 nucleotides. RefSeq lists it as uncharacterized. The record is from RefSeq and is a predicted model, not a curated record. Lineage: Eukaryota; Viridiplantae; Streptophyta; Magnoliopsida; Poales; Poaceae. The transcript has 8 exons.
ACUUGGCAGUUCCUCUUGUUCAGCACAUAACUAAUUUUCACUAAGUAAUCUACUCACAUAACAAUUCAGGUUCCUUAGGAAAUUGGAUGUGAUGUUGCGACGCUUUUGAAGAUGGAUGAUUACAUUGAUGUUUCAAUUGGACAACAAAAAGUUCAACUCUAUAUCAUAACUGGUGUGAAGAGAGAUACCGUGUUUGCACCUCAAACCAAGAAAGAAAUUAGUACCCUCCGUGACCUCCAAGGUUGCAUCUCCCUGUCACGCAUGGUGGUUCUCUUAUUGAAGGGAGUAAUCCAGUCACUGGUCACAUAAUCUCCAUAAUGAUUGGAGUGAAGAAUGGAUAACCUAAAAGGACCAUCAGCUACAUGGCAGAGAGAGUUGUGGGAACUGGAUCAUUCGGAAUUGUCUUCUAGGCAAAAUGUCUGGUGACUGGUGAGACUGUUGCAAUUAAGAAGGUUUUACAGGACAAGCGUUACAAUAAUAAUCAUGGAUUAGCCUAUAUCCAUACUGUACCUGGAGUUUGCCAUAGGGACAUGAAACCUCAUAAUCUUUUGGUAUCUUCUUUUUAUACGUGACAGUUGAUUUAAUAAUAUUUUAAUAUAUGAUGAUAUUCACUUUACUGGUUUCGACAUGUUGAUCCUCUGACUCAUCAAAUCAAGAUAUGUGAUUUUGGGAGUGCCAAAAUGUUGGUUGUGUGGGUCUCUGGACUCACAUUAAGUAAGAACUUCAGUGGCAUGAUGGAUGAGGGAAGGAUCUAGUGUCACACAAGGUUAAAGGUGAAGCAAACAUAUCAUAUAUAUGCUCACGUUAUUACCAUGCUCCAGAGCUCAUAUUUGGGGCAAUUGAGUACACAACAUCAAUUGAUAUAUGGUCAUCUGGAUGUGUUCUUGCUGAGCUGCUUCUUGGCUAGCUUAGUUUCUGUUCUAC